This 119-nucleotide ribosomal RNA is filed under the name Aegilops tauschii subsp. strangulata. Lineage: Eukaryota; Viridiplantae; Streptophyta; Magnoliopsida; Poales; Poaceae. The record is from RNAcentral.
GGAUGCAAUCAUACCAGCACUAAAGCACCGGAUCCCAUCAGAACUCCGAAGUUAAGCGUGCUUGGGCGAGAGGAGUACUAGGAUGGGUGACCUCCUGGGAAGUCCUCGUGUUGCAUUCA